GAUGAACGCUGGCGGCGUGCCUAAUACAUGCAAGUCGAGCGAACGGACGAGGAGCUUGCGUCUCGGAUGUUAGCGGCGGACGGGUGAGUAACACGUGUAUAACCUACCUAUAAUACUGGUAUAACUUCGGGAAACCGGAGCUAAUACCGGAUAAUAUUUUGAACCGCAUGGUUCAAAAGUGAAAGUCGGUCUUUCGGUCACGUAUAGAUGGAUCCGCGCUGCAUUAGCUGGUUGGUAAGGUAACGGGUUACCAAGGGAACGAUGCGUAGACGACCGGAGAGAGUGAUAGGCCACACUGGAGCUGGACCACGGUCCUGGCUACUGCGGGACGCACCAGAAGGGAACGUGCGGCAAUGGGCGAAAGCAUUACGGAGCAACGGCGCGUGAGUGAUGACGGUCUCCGGAGCGUAAAAAUGUGUUACGAGGGAAGAACAUAUGUGGACGGAACUGUGGACAGCUUGACGGUACCUAAUCAGAAAGCCCCGGCUAACUACGUG
Molecule: ribosomal RNA, 497 nt
Filed under: uncultured bacterium
Lineage: Bacteria
Description: partial 16S ribosomal RNA
Rfam family: Bacterial small subunit ribosomal RNA
Source: RNAcentral